UAAGCAGUAAGGCUGAGUAUUAGGCAAAUCCGGUACUCAUUAAGGCUGAGCUGUGAUGGGGAGAAGACAUUGUGUCUUCGAGUCGUUGAUUUCACACUGCCGAGAAAAGCCUCUAGAUAGAAAAUAGGUGCCCGUACCGCAAACCGACACAGGUAGUCAAGAUGAGAAUUCUAAGGUGAGCGAGCGAACUCUCGUUAAGGAACUCGGCAAAAUGACCCCGUAACUUCGGGAGAAGGGGUGCUCUUUAGGGUUAACGCCCAGAAGAGCCGCAGUGAAUAGGCCCAAGCGACUGUUUAUCAAAAACACAGGUCUCUGCUAAACCGUAAGGUGAUGUAUAGGGGCUGACGCCUGCCCGGUGCUGGAAGGUUAAGAGGAGUGGUUAGCUUCUGCGAAGCUACGAAUCGAAGCCCCAGUAAACGGCGGCCGUAACUAUAACGGUCCUAAGGUAGCGAAAUUCCUUGUCGGGUAAGUUCCGACCCGCACGAAAGGCGUAACGAUUUGGGCACUGUCUCAACGAGAGACUCGGUGAAAUCAUAGUACCUGUGAAGAUGCAGGUUACCCGCGACAGGACGGAAAGACCCCGUGGAGCUUUACUGUAGCCUGAUAUUGAAAUUCGGCACAGCUUGUACAGGAUAGGUAGGAGCCUUUGAAACGUGAGCGCUAGCUUACGUGGAGGCGCUGGUGGGAUACUACCCUAGCUGUGUUGGCUUUCUAACCCGCACCACUUAUCGUGGUGGGAGACAGUGUCAGGCGGGCAGUUUGACUGGGGCGGUCGCCUCCUAAAAGGUAACGGAGGCGCUCAAAGGUUCCCUCAGAAUGGUUGGAAAUCAUUCAUAGAGUGUAAAGGCAUAAGGGAGCUUGACUGCGAGACCUACAAGUCGAGCAGGGUCGAAAGACGGACUUAGUGAUCCGGUGGUUCCGCAUGGAAGGGCCAUCGCUCAACGGAUAAAAGCUACCCCGGGGAUAACAGGCUUAUCUCCCCCAAGAGUUCACAUCGACGGGGAGGUUUGGCACCUCGAUGUCGGCUCAUCGCAUCCUGGGGCUGUAGUCGGUCCCAAGGGUUGGGCUGUUCGCCCAUUAAAGCGGUACGCGAGCUGGGUUCAGAACGUCGUGAGACAGUUCGGUCCCUAUCCGUCGUGGGCGUAGGAAAUUUGAGAGGAGCUGUCCUUAGUACGAGAGGACCGGGAUGGACAUACCUCUGGUGUACCAGUUGUCGUGCCAACGGCAUAGCUGGGUAGCUAUGUGUGGACGGGAUAAGUGCUGAAAGCAUCUAAGCAUGAAGCCCCCCUCAAGAUGAGAUUUCCCAACUUCGGUUAUAAGAUCCCUCAAAGAUGAUGAGGUUAAUAGGUUCGAGGUGGAAGCAUGGUGACAUGUGGAGCUGACGAAUACUAA
This 1392-nucleotide ribosomal RNA is filed under the name Staphylococcus aureus. RNAcentral's name for it is "partial 23S ribosomal RNA". It matches the Rfam family "Bacterial large subunit ribosomal RNA", at positions 1513 to 2904 of the family's 2925-position model. The record is from RNAcentral. Lineage: Bacteria; Bacillati; Bacillota; Bacilli; Caryophanales; Staphylococcaceae.